GACGAACGCUGGCGACGUGCUUAACACAUGCAAGUCGAACGGAAAGGCCCUGCUUUUGUGGGGUGCUCGAGUGGCGAACGGGUGAGUAACACGUGAGUAACCUGUCCUUGACUUUGGGAUAACAUCUGGAGACUGGGGAUAAUAUCCGAUAGGAGAUCUUGCAGCAUGGUGGGGGAUGGAAAGAUUCGGCGGUUGGGGAUAGACUAGCGGCUUACCAGCUUGUUGGUGGAGUAGUGGCGUACAAAGGCUUUGAAGGGUAGCCGGCCUGAGAGGGUGACCGGCCACAUUGGGACUGAGAUACGGCCCAGUCUCCUACGGGAGGCAGCAGUGGAGAAUAUUGCACAAUGGGCGGAAGCCUGAUGCAGCAACGCCGCGUGCGGGAUGACGUCCUUCGAGUUGUAAACCGCUUUCUCCUGUGACGAAGCGUGAGUGACGGUAAUGGGUAAAGAAGCACCGGCUAACUACGUG
This 468-nucleotide ribosomal RNA is filed under the name uncultured bacterium. RNAcentral's name for it is "partial 16S ribosomal RNA". It matches the Rfam family "Bacterial small subunit ribosomal RNA", at positions 28 to 507 of the family's 1533-position model. The record is from RNAcentral.